CCCGAAUUCUUGAAGAGCUACAUAGGCUAUUUUUUUAGUGUAUCAUAACUAUUAUUAAUUGCUUGGUAGAAAUGAAACGUUAUUCGUUUCAAGAUAUAUCUGGUUCUUUAAGAAAUAAAUUUAAUUUAGCCUAGUUAAGUAGUUGUUUAAAUUUUAAAUUUCUAUUUUAUCUGGUAAGUUGUCUGGGGAUAAGCUCUGACAAUAAUUUUUAUUUAAUUAUGAAUUUUGACAAAUAGAUAGGAAUAGAAAUUUCCAUUAUUGAUAUUUUGUUAUAAUUAGUUUGGUCGAUAAUAUGAUUUUUAUGAUUAAUAAGUUAUUUAUUAAAGCAUUAAAUUUAAUUUUUAAGUUUAAGUGAUAAUGAUAUAAUUAGUAUAUUAGUUUGUAUAAUUAAGUUGGGCUUAUAUAAGUGUUAAAGGAAUUCGGCAAAUUUAUUCUUCACCUGUUUAUUAAAAACAUGUCCUUUUGAUUAUUAUUUAAGGUUGGGCCUGCCCGAUGAGGAUUUGAAUGGCCGCAGUAAUUUGACUGUGCUAAGGUAGCAUAAUCAUUAGUUUCUUAAUUAGAAGCUGGUAUGAAAGGUUUGAUGAAGGGAUGGCUGUCUCUGAUAUUUUUAUAGAAUUUUAUUUUUGAGUAAAAAAGCUUAAAUUUUAUUGAAAGACGAGAAGACCCUAUAGAGUUUUAUAUAUUAGGUUGUUACAUAUUUUUGAAGUCUAUUUAGUGUAAUAAAUUAAUUUAUUUGGUUGGGGUGAUUGUAAAAUUAGUUAAACUUUUAAUAUGCAUAAUUCACUGAUAUGUGUUUUAAUGAUCCAAUAAUUUUGAUUAAAAGAGUAAAUUACCUUAGGGAUAACAGCGUAAUCUUUUUUCAGAGUUCAAAUCGAUAAAAGGGGUUGCGACCUCGAUGUUGGAUUAAAAUUUACUUGAGGUGCAAUAGCUUCAAAGUUGGGUCUGUUCGACCCUUAAAAUUUUACAUGAUCUGAGUUUAAACCGGCGUGAGCCAGGUUGGUUUCUAUCUUCAAUUAACUAUAAAGCCUUAGUACGAAAGGACCAGG
RNAcentral lists this ribosomal RNA (1046 nucleotides) under Labidostomis ghilianii. RNAcentral describes it as "16S ribosomal RNA". It matches the Rfam family "Bacterial large subunit ribosomal RNA", at positions 714 to 2696 of the family's 2925-position model. The record is from RNAcentral. Lineage: Eukaryota; Metazoa; Arthropoda; Insecta; Coleoptera; Chrysomelidae.